AUGUUUCUGUUGGGAGCUGGGACCAUUCCAGGGGACACAGACUUGCCCUCUGCUGCAAGGGGACCUCAGCUUCCAGGGGACACAGACUUGCCCUCUGCUGCAAGGGGACCACAGCUUCCAGGGGACACGGACUUGCCCUCUGCUGCAAGGGGACCUCAGCUUCCAGGGGACACAGACUUGCCCUCUGCUGCAAGGGGACCUCAGCUUCCAGGGGACACGGAUUUGCCCUCUGCUGCAAGGGGACCUCAGCUUCCAGGGGACACAGACUUGCCCUCUGCUGCAAGGGGACCUCAGCUUCCAGGGGACACGGACUUGCCCUCUGCUGCAAGGGGACCUCAGCUUCCAGGGGACACAGACUUGCCCUCUGCUGCAAGGGGACCACAGCUUCCAGGGGACACGGACUUGCCCUCUGCUGCAAGGGGACCUCAGCUUCCAGGGGACACAGACUUGCCCUCUGCUGCAAGGGGACCUCAGCUUCCAGGGGACACGGACUUGCCCUCUGCUGCAAGGGGACCUCAGCUUCCAGGGGACACGGACUUGCCCUCUGCUGCAAGGGGACCUCAGCUUCCAGGGGACACAGACUUGCCCUCUGCUGCAAGGGGACCGCAGCUUCCAGGGGACACAGAUUUGCCCUCUGCUGCAAGGGGACCGCAGCUUCCAGGGGACACAGAUUUGCCCUCUGCUGCAAGGGGACCUCAGCUUCCAGGGGACACAAAUUUGCCCUCUGCUGCAAGGGGACCUCAGCUUCCAGCGGACACGGACUUGCCCCCUGCUGCAAGGGGACCGCAGCUUCCAGGGGACACGGAUUUGCCCUCUGCUGCAAGGGGACCUCAGCUUCCAGGGGACACGGACUUGCCCUGUGCUGCAAGGGGACCUCAGCUUUCAGGGGACACGGACUUGCCCUGUGCUGCAAGGGGACCUCAGCUUCCAGGGGACAAGGACUUGCCCUGUGCUGCAAGGGGACCUCAGCUUCCAGGAGACACGGACUUGCCCUGUGCUGCAAGGGGACCUCAGCUUCCAGGGGACACGAACUUGCCCUCUGCUGCAAGGGGACCUCAGCUUCAGAGAGAAGUUGGAGCAGCAGGACCACAGAGACUCCCACACUGCCCUUCAAAUAAUUCAAGUCUCACCGUUUGCUUACACAUCCCAAGUAGAGCCAUGGAGGCCUCUUCUAAACCUUCCUCAAAAGAAAGUAAGCCAGGCAGCAGGCUGGAGGACACUGGUGGCUGGUUUCCCCGGCAACUAUCAUUCCUCCAUUGGCUUUUCAAUAUUAGUUUGAAAAGCGAAUGGAAGGCUCUUUCUGCAGAGAGCUCAAUCAGCUAG
This 1323-nucleotide long non-coding RNA is filed under the name Callithrix jacchus (white-tufted-ear marmoset). RNAcentral describes it as "lncRNA (ENSCJAG00000077395.1)". Lineage: Eukaryota; Metazoa; Chordata; Mammalia; Primates; Cebidae. The record is from RNAcentral.